GGGAAGUUUUGAACACAGGGAAGCUGUAACAUUGUGUUCUUACUUUUCUCUCCCGUAAUUUUUACCAUCCAAAUCCAAUUUCCAAUCUUCCCUACAAUUUCUAUUCCUAUUAUUAUUAAUAUCUCAUUGCCACCAUCCAUCCAACCUUAACCACCACCGUUUCUCUUGUGCUCUCAAUCUUUUCUUAAUUUGAGUGGCUGCAAAGCCCCACGUGUUACCUCCUUCACGUUUUUGGUUGCCCCCUUUUUUUGUUCACCACUUUCUUUGUCCAAUAAUCCCUUUGGAGGUUUAGGGUUUUGAUUCUCUCAACAACUCUCGCUUAAUUUAAGGAUAUUUCAUUCUUUUCAAUAACUGCCAUGUCUAAGAGGGUUCUUUGUAAGUUCUUUGCUCAUGGAGCCUGUCUGAAAGGGGAGCAUUGUGAAUAUUCUCAUGACUGGAAAGAUCCUCCAAAUAAUAUAUGCACAUUUUAUCAGAAAGGAGUCUGUGCUUAUGGUAGUCGUUGCAGAUAUGAUCACAUCAAAGCUUCUCAAGCGCAAUCUUCCAUUCCAUCUUCUUCAGCAAUUGAACACCAUACUCUGGUUUCAGAUACUGGUGCUUUUGGAAAUAUUAUAACUACUUCAAAUGGUGUUGGUACGGCUGCAGACUUGUCUCUUUCCAGUAGUCCGUACAUUCUUCCUAGUGAACCGGCUUGGAAUCAUGAACUGGUUUGGAAUCCAGAAAUUGAGUAUUAUGAAAUUUUAGGGGAAGACAAUGUUGGUCAAUCCAUAAUCACUUCACCUUCUGAGCUUUCAAUUUGUUCAUUUGCUGCUGCUGGCAACUGUCCACGAGGGGAACAAUGUCCUCAUAUUCAUGGGGAUCUGUGUCCCACCUGUGGAAAGCAUUGCUUACAUCCUUUCAGACCUGAGGAAAGAGAAGAGCAUAUGAAGACUUGUGAAAGUAGGCAUAAGUAUCUUGAUGCACUGAAACGAAGUCAAGAAAUUGAAUGCAGUGUUUGCCUUGAGCGUGUUCUGUCAAAGCCUAUAUUAGCUGAGCGCAAGUUUGGGCUGCUAUCCGAAUGUGAUCAUCCAUUUUGCAUAUCCUGUAUUAGGAAUUGGCGGAGUAGUAACCCAACAUUGGGGAUGGAUGUUAAUAGUACAUUGAGGGCUUGUCCUAUUUGUCGUAAGUUAUCGUAUUUUGUCAUUCCAAGUGUCGUUUGGUACUCAACAACUGAAGAGAAACAAGAAAUCAUUGACAAAUACAAGGAAAAGCUCAAGUCAAUUGACUGCAAGCACUUUGACUUUGGGGAUGGUAACUGCCCUUUCGGAUCUAGUUGUUUCUACAAGCAUGCAUAUCGAGAUGGCCGUGUGGAGCAGGUAGUAUUGCGACAUCUAGGUGCUGCAGAUGGAAAUACCGUAAUUGCAAAAGAUAUCAGGUUGUCGGAUUUCCUUUCCAACAUGCAUUUAAGAUGAACGGAGAUACUUGCUAAAAAAAGGCAUCCUUCAAUGUCAAAAGUUAUUUUUAUAUUGCAAGUCAAGCUCCUCUUCUUGUUUCUAUGAUAGGUGCUUUUUCAGUAAACCCAUAUGCAAUUGAUAACCUCAAUAUUUUCUGAAAUAGGCACCAGAGAAAGAGGCUGCACACUUGGGCAUUCUGUCGUUGUAAUAAAGUGCAUGUGCUAUAAAUGGUAGUUGGACAUGGUACGAGGGUAUAAACUUAAAUAAAUUCAUUUUUAAAGCAUAUAAAUCGAAGUAUGGAUUGGUGGUGGUAUACUCUAUUAGAAGCAUGGUGGAAUGCACUCUUUUAUCCAUCAGUGAGACUUUUAGAACCAUUACUUUUUUCUGGUGGAUUUCAAAGUAAUAUGCAAAAAUUGAUUGGGGUGAUGAAGUUUUCCUGUUCUAUUAUUGAGAUCUUAAAGAGAUACAUUUCUGUUGUAUACUUGGAUUUCCUUGCUGUGGUUGGCACAGUACCAAGAAUCUUAGGAUAAAGGAUUCAACAUGUCUUGUAUUGGUUUUGUUAUUUUCUUUAGGAUUUUGUCAGAGCCCUUUUUGUGGCUUAUAUAGAUUCCUUUUUUUUUUUGUUUUU
Vigna umbellata (rice bean) is the source of this 2058-nucleotide RNA transcript. It is a transcript of the gene named zinc finger (CCCH-type/C3HC4-type RING finger) family protein, with no coding region annotated. The record is from RefSeq and is a predicted model, not a curated record. NCBI's taxonomy places the organism in Eukaryota, Viridiplantae, Streptophyta, Magnoliopsida, Fabales, Fabaceae.